GGGGAGGGGGUGGAGGAGGAGGAGCCAUCUUUAUGUUGAUUAAGCAUUUGGUCUCUUGUCAAAUAAGCCAAAGUGGUGAAAGAAUGGCUACGAUAUGGAUUAGAUGGUUUAUGAUAGAUUUAUGAAUGUUUAAUUCAUAUUGUCAAACCAUAGUAUCUUGAAUUGGGAGAAGCUCAAUUCAAAGGUGCUAGUUUGCACACCAG
RNAcentral lists this unclassified non-coding RNA (203 nucleotides) under Hevea brasiliensis (rubber tree). Lineage: Eukaryota; Viridiplantae; Streptophyta; Magnoliopsida; Malpighiales; Euphorbiaceae. The record is from RNAcentral.